This 253-nucleotide ribosomal RNA is filed under the name uncultured bacterium. Its description in RNAcentral is "partial 16S ribosomal RNA". It matches the Rfam family "Bacterial small subunit ribosomal RNA", at positions 524 to 776 of the family's 1533-position model. The record is from RNAcentral.
UACGUAGGGACCGAGCGUUGUCCGGAAUCAUUGGGCGUAAAGAGCGUGUAGGCGGCCACUUAAGUCCUGCGUGAAAUCUUGCGGCUCAACCGCAAGCGGUCGUGGGAAACUGGGUGGCUAGAGUGCGGGAGAGGAGAGUGGAAUUCCUGGCGUAGCGGUGGAAUGCGCAGAUAUCAGGAAGAACACCCGUGGCGAAGGCGGCUCUCUGGACCGGUUCUGACGCUGAGGCGCGAAAGCGUGGGUAGCAAACAGG